This 460-nucleotide ribosomal RNA is filed under the name uncultured bacterium. RNAcentral's name for it is "partial 16S ribosomal RNA". It matches the Rfam family "Bacterial small subunit ribosomal RNA", at positions 338 to 795 of the family's 1533-position model. The record is from RNAcentral.
CCUACGGGAGGCAGCAGUGAGGAAUAUUGGUCAAUGGGCGAGAGCCUGAACCAGCCAAGUCGCGUGAAGGAUGACGGCCCUACGGGUUGUAAACUUCUUUUGUCAGGGAGCAAUUUGGUCCACGCGUGGGCUUAGCGAGAGUACCUGCAGACAAAGCAUCGGCUAACUCCGUGCCAGCAGCCGCGGUAAUACGGAGGAUGCGAGGGUUAUCCGGAUUUAUUGGGUUUAAAGGGUGCGUAGGCGUAAGAUCAAGUCAGCGGUAAAAAUUCGGGGCUCAACCCCGUCGUGCCGUUGAAACUGGGGGCCUGGAGUGGGCGAGAAGAAGGCGGAAUGCGUGGUGUAGCGGUGAAAUGCAUAGAGAUCACGCAGAACCCCGAUUGCGAAGGCAGCCUUCCGGCGCCCGACUGACGCUGAGGCACGAAAGUGCGGGGAUCGAACAGGAUUAGAUACCCCAGUAGUC